Molecule: long non-coding RNA, 508 nt
Filed under: Anas zonorhyncha (Eastern spot-billed duck)
Lineage: Eukaryota; Metazoa; Chordata; Aves; Anseriformes; Anatidae
Description: lncRNA (ENSAZOG00000010735.1)
Source: RNAcentral
GUUACGGGGUGUCUUGAGGUGGUUAUGGGGCACCCAAAGGUGGUAGGGGGUGGUCUAAGAGGUGGUCGGGGGCACCCUGGGGUGGUUUCGAGGCACCCUAAGGUGGUAGGGGGUGUCUUGAGGUGGUUAUGGGGCACCCCAAGGUGGUAGAGGGUGGUCUAAGGGGUGGUAGGGGGCACCCAAAGGUGGUUAUGGGGCACCCAAAGGUGCUAUGGGGCGUCUUGGAGGUGUUUUGGGGUGCCCCAAAGUGGUAGGGGGUGGUCUAAGGGGUGGUAGGGGGCGCCCUGAGGUGGUUAUAGGGCACCCAAAGGUGCUAUGGGGCACCCAAGGGUGCUAUGGGGCGCCUUGGGGGUGUUAUUGGGGCACCCCAAGGUGCUGCGGGGCACCCCGAGGUGUUUCGGGUGCGCAAGUCCUGGAGAUGCCCACAGGGAACGGGGUCAGGCCUUGGGCAGGGGGGGCACCCAUGGGUCACCGGGAGCACCCAUGGGUCACCAGCAGCACCCAUUGA